CCUACGGGUGGCUGCAGUGAGGAAUAUUGGUCAAUGGGCGAGAGCCUGAACCAGCCAAGUCGCGUGAGGGAGUACUGCCCUAUGGGUUGUAAACCUCUUUUGUCGGGGAGCAAAAGCCGGACGUGUCCGGCUGUGCGAGUACCCGAUGCAAAAGCAUCGGCUAACUCCGUGCCAGCAGCCGCGGUAAUACGGAGUAUGCGAGCGUUAUCCGGAUUUAUGGGGUUUAAAGGGUGCGCAGGGGGAUUUUUAAGUCAGCGGUCAAAUCGUGGGGCUAAACCCCAUCCAGCCGUUGACACUGGGGAUCUAGAGUGCACGAGAGGUAUGCGGAAUGCGUGGUGUAGCGGUGAAAUGCAUAGAUAUCACGCAGAACCCCGAUUGCGAAGGCAGCAUACCGGUGCACAACUGACGCUGAGGCACGAAAGUGUGGGUAUCGAACAGGAUUAGAUACCCCGGUAGUC
RNAcentral lists this ribosomal RNA (458 nucleotides) under uncultured bacterium. Its description in RNAcentral is "partial 16S ribosomal RNA". It matches the Rfam family "Bacterial small subunit ribosomal RNA", at positions 338 to 795 of the family's 1533-position model. The record is from RNAcentral.